Agrilus planipennis (emerald ash borer) is the source of this 4649-nucleotide RNA transcript. RefSeq lists it as uncharacterized. The record is from RefSeq and is a predicted model, not a curated record. The transcript is spliced from 8 exons. Lineage: Eukaryota; Metazoa; Arthropoda; Insecta; Coleoptera; Buprestidae.
UUACAUGUCCAUUAUUAUUCUUAAAGUUUGAGGUUGGAUGAGAGUCUGUGAGCAGUGGUUAUUAUUUUAUUUUAAUCUAUUUGAGAAUCAUGAACGAAUGUCGAUUGUGCUCGUCUACGGUCGAUUUAAUCAACAUUUUCGAUUCUAAUUUAAAGAAUUCUCGUGAACUAAGGUGUUUUAUCAUUUUAGCUACGGGUAUUGAGAUUAGAGAAACGGAUGUCGUCUCCAAGUUGGUGUGUCGGCGAUGUUGUAUUCUGGCCAUUAAGAUUUAUAAAUACCGAACAAAGGCUGUCGCCAACGAUAAAGUACUAAAGGAGCAAUGUGGACAGCACUAUUCCCCUCCACCGUCUCCGCCCCUUUCUCCGUUUGACACUUGCAAAAAUAAAAGUAGUGGCGAUUCUAGUGAAAUCGGAAACACAAAUCAUCAUAAUGUGUCAUUUACUCAAAAUACUAAAUUUGGUCUCAUAAAAAAGCAUCCUUCUGUUGAAGAAUUAAUGAGCGUAUAUCCGAAUAUUAUUUUACCCUCUCGAAUAUUUCAGUCACAUAUAAACCCUGUUAUAACAAUUGACAAAAAUGAAGUAACCGAAUGGUUUCAAAAGCACCGUAAUCUACAGUACGAUUUACCACUUGUUGCCAUUAACGAAUGUUAUUCAAAAUUUAAGAACAUUACCAUACGCAAAGUGAUUUCCAAAACUGAAAAUUUUGAAAUUGCUAAUGAAGAUGACGCCUCUAAAAAUCAAUUGAAUAAUGUACCUUGUAAAAAUGCUGAAAAUGUCAAUAAAGAAGAUGCCAAGAGUAAAAGUUUCAGUUCCUGUAAUAUUGUAACAGAAUGUAGAGUUGUGUCGAAUAAUGUGGCCAGAAAAAGAACUUCAGGAAUACGAACGUACAAAAGGAAAAUGGAACGAAAGAAGAAUCCAUACGAGACAAAUGAUUCCGAUGCAGAAAUAAUGCCGACUGCCAAGAGGAAAACCCCAAUAAUGACGAAUGAAGUGCAAAAAGAGAUUUUCACUUCAUCUUUGGGUUUGACGCCAUCCGACAAACGCUUAAUUACUGAAGAAAUAGAUGCCGAUGUUAUUUAUAAAACGUCACCGAGUAAGUCGGUAAUGUUCGAAACUCUUAAAGAAGUGAAUUUAUUUGUUUGUAAUAUUUGCAAUCGUGUUUGCGAUACAAGAAAAGAACUUACUGAACAUCAGCGAAUUCAUUUACAUUGUAAAUUCUGUAAAACGAAAGUUAAAAGCAUCGACGCUCUUCUUGAACAUAAUAAUGAAACAUGUUUCGUCAAUUUAACGAAAAAUUUACCCAAUGUUGUGCUUCUUCGAGCCGAUAAAGACCCGAAAAUGAUUAAUAAGUAUAGAAAAGCGUUUGAAACUUUAAAAGAUGAACAAGAGGAAAGCGAUGAAUAUGAAAACUCCGAAAUAAUUCCCCUAAUUGAAGAAGUGAACGUACCAGUUGGCGGAGGCGAAUUUCUUGACGAAUUGCAAACAAAUGCCCAAAUUUUACCGUCAUAUACUAAUGAAAUACUCAUGCCCGAACCAGAUGAUAGAGUUGAUUUGAAAAAUCCCAUGCUUAGAAGUGUUCUUGCUAAUAAUUUAUCAAACGAAAAACAUAGUGAAGAUUCUAAAUUAGAACAAUACAUAGAAAGAUCGAUUGGUAGGGCGACGCAGAAGUCGAAAAGAAAAGUAUGCUCUACAUCUACGAUUAGUUGUUCUAAUGAAAACGUCGUGUGUAUUUCGGACGAAAGUGGCGACGAAACAACCACCAAUAAUAGUACAAAAAUUGCCGGUUCUAAAAUCAACGACUUGAUCGAAGAUGUUACUGUCGUACCACCUGUAGAGUCGGUCUCGAUAAUUCGUCCUGAGAUAAAAAUCGCCCAAAACACCAUAGUAUGUCCCCAAGCCACUCAGGCGAUGAACAGUAAAUCGUUAGCAUCAUUGGAAGAAUCAUUAAUUCAGGACCUGUUUAAAAAAUAUUCAAUAAGUAAAUCAACUAAUAGAACCACUCAAGUAUUUUUACCCAGUGAUUCCAGCAUAAAAGUUUUAGGGAAUAAACUAAUGAGCGUAGAAAAUAUGUUUUUGGAACUUAAUAUGCAUAAGGUUCCCGUGGAAUUAAAUUUCAGUGACGUAAUAAAGAUAGAUUUUAAAAGGGCCAUCGAAAAAGCACCGUACAAAUCUGAUUUCAGCUGGAAUAAGUGUAGUAUUAAUGAAUUAAUGCCUCACCAUCUGUCAACCGCUGCAUUAAAGCGUCAACCUGUGCACGAAGUAAUACAUAUCGAGGACGACGGUUUCAUUAGCCCAGCUGCCGCAACUGUAACUACUGCUAGCCCUUCCGAUUGGUCGGUUAUUUCUGAAAAUAACAUUCCUAAGAAUAUUCUUGUAAGCAAUCCCGACGUCCGAACCGAUACGAUUCCCACAACGUUUAUUCAACCCACUGUUUUAUUAAACGGAAGUAGUUUUUUACCUAACAACAACAAUAAAAACAGCAGCAACAAUCAAACAAUUACCAUUCCUCUUAUACCGAAAAUUUCUUCCUCUAGUAACAAUCAGAGUAAAUUGAUUAAUCAGUGUAGUAAUACAGUCCAAGUGGUCGUCCCUACAUCUAAUCCACAUAUACAAGCUGUAUCGGUUCCACAUAAUCACGUGCAAGUGUCUACUACAUCCUCUAAUACUAUCCUUCUUAAUCAUAUAAACGCUAUAAGUAGGCCAUCGUCAGGUCAAAAAUUAUUACUUCCUAGACCCUUUUUUACUUCAUCAAACGUUAUACAACAAACUUCGUUAUCUCCGAACAUCACAUGUUCAGAAACGCACAAACCGUCAGUAGGCGCUAUUACUAGUAGUAAUUGUGGAAAAAUUAUUUUGAUUACUCAUAAUCAGAAUAAAACAGUGGACCAGAACGACACGAACGUUGAUAGAAAGGUUGAAAGUUUGCCUGCUGUUGAAACAACAAACUGUACUUCUUCAACUACAACAGAAAAAAUUGCUGUUCAAGGAAGCAGCGGUCCCUCACUUUUAAGAGUGAGAAAUUUGUGGGAGUUAACAGGUCAUAAGUCGUAAAUAAAUGUAGUUUUUAUUUUAUUUAAAAUAGGAAAAAUUGCACUCUUAAAACCUUUUAUGAUCACACUGUUAUAAGAUUACAUUAACGAUUAUAUUGGAAUAGUAGUGUUCGAAGAAAAAAUUGUUAAGUUCUACAUAUUAAUUAAAAUAGAACAUUGGCUUGUAUGUACAUAAAUAUGUGAAUGUAAAGUGAUGUCUCAUUAUUACACUUAAGUUGUUUAUAAAUAUAAAAUAGGCACUAGAGUGGAUACAUUUAAGAAUAAACUGAAAAACAAAUGUGUUAGGUGGUUCUUUCUUCCGUAUUGAUUUAUUAAGUUAAAGUGUAACAGUUAUUAAUAGGCAUCAAUAACAAAAAAAGCAGAGACAGGAAAUAGCGUGUACAGGAAAUCAAUAACAAUCAAUAAUUUUAAUUCAGUUAUAGCUUCUGCUUAAGUUGCCCUGGCACCUUCACCGAAAUUUACAAUAAAUUUUGAAAUGUGUAUUUUCAUGAGCGGCCUAUUUUUCGGCAUUUAAACGAUAGUUUAGAAUAAAAAUUAAUCAAAAACACAUACACAUUUUUAGAAGUUAUAAUUAAAGAUGUGAAAGGAUUCACAACCAAAUUUUAUUAUUAUUAAUUAUUUCAAUUUUGUGGUUCUCGAAUAGUAUUAAGGUUUUCUUUGUAGGUGCAUUAUUAUUAGUGUCGCUGUAUGUUGGGUUGUCUAUAAAUUGUAGCUUAAAUAUAAAAACCACCGUUUUCACAAAUACAUUAACUAAGUAAACUAAAUCUCUCAUUUUUAAAAUUUUUAUUGAGGUGUAAAAUGGUAACCGAUUACUUCUGUCUGCACAGUUAUUGUAUAUGGAUCCAUCAACAACUGUUAUUAGAUUGUGAUAAUCUCAGCCCCUGUAAUAAACGAGAAUUUUAAUUUUCAAAAUUGGCAAAUGGUAAAAGCUCGAAACUGUUAGCGCCUUUACUUUCACUGGUCGAAAUUCAUUUUUGUGAACAAUUUGUUUAAUCAUUUUCCCAGUGUUAGAAAUUGUUUAAAAAAUUUAAUUCAAAGAAAUUUGUUUAUAAAAUAAUAGGCAACACAUCAUACACUGCAGCAUAGGCAAUUGCAUAUCCAAACUACGUAAAAUGUAUAACAAUUUUGAAAAUUAAGUUUCUCUUUCACUAUAGGGACUAAGAUUAUCUUUUAGAGGACGUGGAACGAGCCCCACCCAAGGACAAUAAGGACAGAAGUAACCGGGUCUAAGACUGUCAUAAUCACAUGAGGGACGUAGAAAGAGCCCCACGCAAGGGCAAUAUGGACAUUAGUAGCCGUUUCUCCCUUACCAUAGGGUCUAAAAUUGUACAAAUGACAUGAGGGACAUAGAGAGAGCUCCACACAAGGAAAAUGUGGAUCGAAGCAACUGGGCCUAAGAUUAUCUUUUAGAGGACGUGGAAGGAGCCUCACACAUGGACAAUAAGGGCAGUGGUCACCGGGUCUAAGACUGUCAUAAUCUCAUGAGCGAUGUAGAAAGAGUCCUACGUGAGGAUAAUAUGGGCAGAAAUAAUAUGUGGGCAUUUUGCACCCGUUAUUUUUAAAAUCUUCUUGUUUUUACUUUUAUUUUAAGUAAGCAAUA